This 407-nucleotide long non-coding RNA is filed under the name Urocitellus parryii (Arctic ground squirrel). Its description in RNAcentral is "lncRNA (ENSUPAG00010012885.1)". The record is from RNAcentral. Lineage: Eukaryota; Metazoa; Chordata; Mammalia; Rodentia; Sciuridae.
CUGGGACCCGAGAGUUCUUUGGAAGGAGAGCGCAAGCGAGGGAGCGGGCGAGCUCCGAGGGGGUGUGGGUGUAGGGAAAGAGCAGGCAGCGGCGGCAGCGGCAGCGGUGGGGAAAAGCGGAUUCCGCCCCGAGCCACACCGAGGAGAGCUUGCGGUCGCGACUUGCCGCCCUAAGCACUCUCCCAAGUCCAGCCCGCUCGGCGAGGACUUCAGUCUCCUGGGCGAACCUUGUCAAGCAAGCUGGGAUCUAUGAGUGGAAAGGUGACCAAGCCCAAAGAGGAGAAAGAUGCUUCUAAGGAUUCAAGAGACCUAUUUCAUCAACAUAAAACCCGUAGAAGCCACACAUGCUGGGAAUCGGUCCUCCAUAUCAAAGCUGAUCAGGAUGGAUUGACGAAUUUUGUAGCUUG